AGAGUUUGAUCAUGGCUCAGAACGAACGUUGGCGGCGUGGAUUAGGCAUGCAAGUCGAACGAAUCCCACUUGGGUAACUGGGUGGGGGAAGUGGCGAAAGGGGCAGUAAGGCGUGGGUAACGUACCUCGGGGAUCGGGAUAGCCAUUCUAACGAGUGGGUAAUACCGGGCGAUCUGGCGUGGAGACAUCUUCGUGCCAGGAAAUGAAUUUCGCCUCGAGAGCGGCCCACGUAGUAUUAGCUUGUUGGUGAGGUAACGGCUCACCAAGGCCAAGAUGCUUAGCAGGUGUGAGAGCACGACCUGCGCCACUGGCACUGAGACACUGGCCAGACUCCUACGGGAGGCUGCAGUCGAGGAUCUUCGGCAAUGGGCGCAAGCCUGACCGAGCGACGCCGCGUGUGCGAUGAAGGCCUUCGGGUUGUAAAGCACUGUCGAGGGGGAGAAAGGUCCGCAAGGGCUUGAUCUAUCCCUGGAGGAAGCACGGGCUAAGUUCGUGCCAGCAGCCGCGGUAAGACGAACCGUGCGAACGUUGUUCGGAAUCACUGGGCUUAAAGGGCGCGUAGGCGGGUCAUCAAGUCAGGGGUGAAAUACUUCGGCCUAACCGGAGAACGGCUUCUGAUACUGGUGACCUCGAGGGGUGUAGGGGCAUGUGGAACUUCCGGUGGAGCGGUGAAAUGCGUAGAUAUCGGAAGGAACGCCGGUGGCGAAAGCGACGUGCUGGACACCUUCUGACGCUGAGGCGCGAAAGCCAGGGGAGCAAACGGGAUUAGAUACCCCAGUAGUCC
RNAcentral lists this ribosomal RNA (784 nucleotides) under uncultured bacterium. RNAcentral describes it as "bacterial SSU rRNA". It matches the Rfam family "Bacterial small subunit ribosomal RNA", at positions 8 to 796 of the family's 1533-position model. The record is from RNAcentral.